Molecule: ribosomal RNA, 253 nt
Filed under: uncultured bacterium
Lineage: Bacteria
Description: partial 16S ribosomal RNA
Rfam family: Bacterial small subunit ribosomal RNA
Source: RNAcentral
UACGUAGGUGGCAAGCGUUGUCCGGAUUUACUGGGCGUAAAGAGCGCGCAGGCGGUCGUUCAAGUCGCGUGUGAAAGCCCCCGGCUCAACUGGGGAGGGUCACGCGAUACUGAUCGACUCGAAGGCAGGAGAGGGAAGUGGAAUUCCCGGUGUAGUGGUGAAAUGCGUAGAUAUCGGGAGGAACACCAGUGGCGAAGGCGGGUCUCUGGGCCGAAACUGACGCUGAGGAGCGAAAGCGUGGGGAGCAAACAGG